GGGCCGGCGGCGGGAGAGUCUUCCUUCAGGGGAAGCGCCGAAGGAGCAAGCGGGGAGGGGGUCGGACUCUCCGUGAAUCUCUCAGGCACCAGGACCGUCGCCUGGGC
This is a regulatory RNA element of 107 nucleotides. It matches the Rfam family "Glycine riboswitch aptamer". Rfam says of the family: This family represents the bacterial glycine riboswitch. Glycine riboswitches usually consist of two metabolite-binding aptamers domains with similar structures in tandem. The record is from Rfam.